RNAcentral lists this long non-coding RNA (321 nucleotides) under Malus domestica (apple). RNAcentral describes it as "long non-coding RNA (MDOM_LNC017542)". Lineage: Eukaryota; Viridiplantae; Streptophyta; Magnoliopsida; Rosales; Rosaceae. The record is from RNAcentral.
UACGAUUCUACUGGAUGACCAUGCUUGUUUUGCAAAACACGCAAUCUGAUCUAGAUAUGGACAUAAUAAGAUCCUAUAAGUCUUGGAGUUUCUACAAUUUAGGAUUUGAUGUGCGCCACAAGUAAUCAUAACUCCUAAAAUGGUGCAAUAUCUACUUCUAGAUAUCCUCUAGGAUUCUCCUGGCUUAGAGUGAGGAUUCUAUCCUAAAAAUGUCUCUCCCAUGGUAUAAAUUCACCCAUCUAGGGUUCAUCUCUAAAUCUAAUAACGCAAUCUGAACACUUGAAUUCUCUUGCCCACUACUUGAGUCUAAAAUCAUUCACU